GCCGGGUGCGGUGGCGCGUGCCUAUAGUCCUAGCUACUUGGGAGGCUGAGGCCGGAGGAUCGCUUGAGCCCAGGAGUUCUGUGCUGUAGUGCGCUAUGCCGAUUGGGUGUCCGCACUAAGUUCGGCAUCAAUAUAGUGACCUCCCGGGAGCCGGGGACCACCAUAUUGCCUAAGGAGGGGUGAAACGGCCCAGGUCGGAAACGGAGCAGGUCAAAACUCCCGUGUUGAUCAGUAGUGGGAUCCCGCCUGUGAAUAGCCACUGCACUCCAGCCUGGGCAACAUAGUGAGACCCCGUCUGU
RNAcentral lists this signal recognition particle RNA (299 nucleotides) under Saimiri boliviensis boliviensis (Bolivian squirrel monkey). RNAcentral describes it as "Metazoan signal recognition particle RNA (ENSSBOG00000015496.1)". It matches the Rfam family "Metazoan signal recognition particle RNA". Rfam says of the family: The signal recognition particle (SRP) is a universally conserved ribonucleoprotein. The record is from RNAcentral. Lineage: Eukaryota; Metazoa; Chordata; Mammalia; Primates; Cebidae.